AUUGAACGCUGGCGGCAGGCCUAACACAUGCAAGUCGAACGAGUGGCGGACGGGUGAGUAAUGUCUGGGAAACUGCCUGAUGGAUGGGGAUAACUAAUAGAACAGGUAGCUAAUACCUCAUAACAGCGGUUGUACCCAGAUGGGAUUAGCUAGUAGGUGGGGUAAAGGCUCUACUAGGCUACGCUCCCUAGCUGGUUGGAGAGGAUGACCAGCAACAAUGGAACGACGACACGGUCCAGACUCCUACGGUGGGCAGCAGUGGGGAAUAUUGCACAAUGGGCGCAAGCCUUAUGCAGCAAUGCGGCGUGUAUGAAGAGGGUCUUCGGGUUGUAAAGUACUGUCAGCGGGGAGGCGUUACCCGCAGAGGAAGCACCGGCUAACUACGUGCCAGCAGCCGCGGUAAUAC
This 406-nucleotide ribosomal RNA is filed under the name uncultured bacterium. Its description in RNAcentral is "partial 16S ribosomal RNA". It matches the Rfam family "Bacterial small subunit ribosomal RNA", at positions 30 to 526 of the family's 1533-position model. The record is from RNAcentral.